This 69-nucleotide transfer RNA is filed under the name Pseudorasbora parva (stone moroko). RNAcentral's name for it is "tRNA-His". It matches the Rfam family "tRNA". Rfam says of the family: Transfer RNA (tRNA) molecules are approximately 80 nucleotides in length. Their secondary structure includes four short double-helical elements and three loops (D, anti-codon, and T loops). Lineage: Eukaryota; Metazoa; Chordata; Actinopteri; Cypriniformes; Gobionidae. The record is from RNAcentral.
GUAAGUAUAGUUUAACGAAAAUAUUAAAUUGUGAUUCUAAAGACAGGGGUUAAAGUCCCCUUACUCACC